This 253-nucleotide ribosomal RNA is filed under the name uncultured bacterium. Its description in RNAcentral is "partial 16S ribosomal RNA". It matches the Rfam family "Bacterial small subunit ribosomal RNA", at positions 524 to 776 of the family's 1533-position model. The record is from RNAcentral.
UACGUAGGGGGCAAGCGUUGUCCGGAUUUAUUGGGCGUAAAGCGUGCGCAGGCGGUUGUGCAAGGCAGAUGUGAAAUCCCCGGGCUCAACCUGGGAACUGCAUUUGUGACUGCACGGCUGGAGUGCGGCAGAGGGGGAUGGAAUUCCGCGUGUAGCAGUGAAAUGCGUAGAUAUGCGGAGGAACACCGAUGGCGAAGGCAAUCCCCUGGGCCUGCACUGACGCUCAUGCACGAAAGCGUGGGGAGCAAACAGG